RNAcentral lists this ribosomal RNA (253 nucleotides) under uncultured bacterium. Its description in RNAcentral is "partial 16S ribosomal RNA". It matches the Rfam family "Bacterial small subunit ribosomal RNA", at positions 524 to 776 of the family's 1533-position model. The record is from RNAcentral.
UACGGAGGGGGCUAGCGUUGUUCGGAAUCAUUGGGCGUAAAGGGCGCGUAGGCGGCCGAUCAAGUCGGAGGUGAAAUCCCUCGGCUCAACUGAGGAAUUGCCUUCGAUACUGUUCGGCUUGAGUCCUGGAGAGGGUAGCGGAAUUCCCGGUGUAGCGGUGAAAUGCGUAGAGACCGGGAAGAACACCAAUGGCGAAAGCAGCUUUCUGGGACGGUACUGACGCUGAGACGCGAAAGCGUGGGGAGCGAACAGG